RNAcentral lists this ribosomal RNA (253 nucleotides) under uncultured bacterium. RNAcentral's name for it is "partial 16S ribosomal RNA". It matches the Rfam family "Bacterial small subunit ribosomal RNA", at positions 524 to 776 of the family's 1533-position model. The record is from RNAcentral.
UACAGAGGUCUCAAGCGUUGUUCGGAUUCAUUGGGCGUAAAGGGUGCGCAGGCGGUAAAGAAAGUCAGGUGUGAAAUCCCGGAGCUCAACUCCGGAACUGCACUUGAUACUCCUUUGCUUGAGUGCUGGAGAGGAGACUGGAAUUUACGGUGUAGCAGUGAAAUGCGUAGAUAUCGUAAGGAAGACCAGUGGCGAAGGCGAGUCUCUAGACAGCUACUGACGCUGAGGCACGAAGGCCAGGGGAGCAAACGGG